UACGGAGGGUGCAAGCGUUAAUCGGAAUUACUGGGCGUAAAGCGCACGCAGGUGGCUGAGAUAGUCGAUUGUGAAAGCCCUGGGCUUAACCUGGGAAUUGCAGUCGAUACUACUCGGCUAGAGUAUGGGAGAGGGCAGUGGAAUUCCCGGUGUAGCGGUGAAAUGCGUAGAUAUCGGGAGGAACAUCAGUGGCGAAGGCGGCUGCCUGGCCCAAUACUGACACUCAGGUGCGACAGCGUGGGGAGCAAACAGG
RNAcentral lists this ribosomal RNA (253 nucleotides) under uncultured Gammaproteobacteria bacterium. RNAcentral's name for it is "partial 16S ribosomal RNA". It matches the Rfam family "Bacterial small subunit ribosomal RNA", at positions 524 to 776 of the family's 1533-position model. Lineage: Bacteria; Pseudomonadati; Pseudomonadota; Gammaproteobacteria. The record is from RNAcentral.